RNAcentral lists this ribosomal RNA (625 nucleotides) under Pestalotiopsis olivacea. RNAcentral's name for it is "eukaryotic LSU rRNA". The stretch from base 213 to 366 matches the Rfam family "5.8S ribosomal RNA". The record is from RNAcentral. Lineage: Eukaryota; Fungi; Ascomycota; Sordariomycetes; Amphisphaeriales; Sporocadaceae.
AAAAAAAAAAAAAAAAAAAAAUUUUCUAAACUCCCAACCCAUGUGAACUUACCAUUGUUGCCUCGGCAGAAGCUACCCUGUGGCGUCUUACCCGGGAACGGCCUACCCUGUAGCGCCUUACCCUGGAACGACCUACCCUGUAGCGGCUGCCGGUGGACUACUCAACUCUUGUUAUUUUAUGGUUAUCUGAGCGUCUUAUUUUAAUAAGUCAAAACUUUCAACAACGGAUCUCUUGGUUCUGGCAUCGAUGAAGAACGCAGCGAAAUGCGAUAAGUAAUGUGAAUUGCAGAAUUCAGUGAAUCAUCGAAUCUUUGAACGCACAUUGCGCCCAUUAGUAUUCUAGUGGGCAUGCCUGUUCGAGCGUCAUUUCAACCCUUAAGCCUAGCUUAGUGUUGGGAGCCUACUGCUGUUACCGGCUGUAGCUCCUGAAAUACAACGGCGGAUCUGCGAUAUCCUCUGAGCGUAGUAAUUUUUUUCUCGCUUUUGACUGGAGUUGCAGCGUCCUUAGCCGCUAAACCCCCAAUUUUUAAUGGUUGACCUCGGAUCAGGUAGGAAUACCCGCUGAACUUAAGCAUAUCAAUAAGCGGAGGAAAAGAAACCAACAGGGAUUGCCCCAGUAACGAAA